GUGCUCACUUUGGCAGCAAAUAUACUAAUAUUGAAACCACACAUAGAUUAUCAUGGCCUCAGCACAAGGAUGACAUGCAAAUUCGUGAAUCCUUCCAGAUUUUU
Molecule: small nuclear RNA, 104 nt
Filed under: Vicugna pacos (alpaca)
Lineage: Eukaryota; Metazoa; Chordata; Mammalia; Artiodactyla; Camelidae
Source: RNAcentral